AUGUACAGAGGCAAGUUCACAGCUCUGUGCACUACUAGCACAGUGUUCAAACCAGGAUAAAUACCUGUAGUAAUGAGGGCUAGUUUAGAUGUCUUUCCCUUCCGUUCUACUGUGCCAUAUGGCUAUUGUUGGCACAGGAACAGAAAUGGCUUCCUAUAUAAUAGAGGUAGGCUGUUGUAGGGAAAACCGCUCAACUCAUGUGAUUUACAUCAAAUCAGGAUUGGUGUGGUUUAUUGAUUUAUUAAUGAAAAGUUAUUAACUGGUAAUCAGUUAGCCAAUCAUUCAGGAUCCAGUAAUAAAACAGAUAAGCUACAGUAACAUGCACUUACAAAAUGUUAAUAAAGACAUACGAACAGACCUGACCGAGGCAGAGUUGUAAUGCCCGUGGGGCAACUUCUGCCAGUGUCCAGCCAGGUUGACUGCUGCUCUGUUACCCUCUUCUCAGUCCAUGGUUCCUCACUCUUGUUACAAAUUUUCAUGUUUCUUUCAUGCUUCAGGUGACUCCCAAAGUCUCUUUGGAAUUCCUUAGUUACACUUAAAUCGGGAUGAUGGCCAUCUUAAGCAAACGUCAUCACUGCUAAUGUUCUCUUAAUGUAAUCAGUCUUUGGGCACACAGACUCUCAGAUGCUUCUGGCUUUCCAUUCACACAUUCUUUUUACACUCAUGUUUGUACUUUAUCAGCCAUUGCUAUCCAAGCCUAGUUACCAAGGGGAGCUGUGCAGAUUUCCGCACAGUAUGCUUGUUACUUCGGUGCUACGGCUUGCCUUCUGGGAUCUAGGAUUCUUGCUUAUUGGACUUAUGCAUCUUUUAAGGCAUUUUAAUACUCCCCAAACCAUCACCACAUUUCUGCAGUACCAGGAAUAUAUUAAUGUACUCUUUAACUCUAUCAACAAGAACAAGACUUUCUAUUUUAGUGAGGGCUUUCUAUCCAAGGACUAAAAUCUCUUGUUUCUACUCAGUCAACAGUCAAGUUCAAAAAGAAUGACUAUGGCUACGUACUCAUUAUACUUUUGUCAGCUCCACACAUUCAAAAGUUUAGGUAAAGUGUGAAAGCAUAUUAAAUGAUACACAAAUAAUAAUAAAGUCCUUUAGGAUAUUUAGUAUGAUAAAAGUAAGGCAAGGUUAACUAGGUUCUUUAAAACAUACUUUGGAGAGCUUCAAAGCUAAACUCUCAACAUUUCUCCAGAACUCUUUUCUGUUUCUAUUCCUCCUCUCUUUAGGCAGCCUAGGAGCAGGAACAGUUCCUGGCCAGUUCUCAUCUCUCCCACAUGUCCAAGUGCUGUCUGGGGAAUAGGGAGGGAGACCUAGGAGACUUCCAUUAGGAUGAGUAAAGAGAUCCCAUACUUGUCAAUGUUUUAGGCAAUAAGGAGGAGAGAGUACUGGAAGGCACAGAGGCAGCUGAAAUAACCCCUCCCAGUUCCCUAAUCCAGAUCUUAAUUGCUGCUUCUUCAAGACUUAAUUUUCUUAUAUGCCUGAGAAGUCUUGAACAACAUUGUUCUCAGCAUAGUUUUUCAGCGUAAGAAUUUCUAAACUCUUGAGCUGCUGUAACUACUAUACAACUAUAUACCAGUAACUAUUAGUACUAGGAACUACUACUACAACUAUAAUUAUUGUAACUAUAACAUGAAAAAUAGCACACGCAUCCUGUUAUUAGUUAAAGAUCUUGUUAUGAAAAAUGUUGAUGCCCAUCUCCAAACCUUGAGCUACUUUGUGCUCUGAUCAUUGAGGUCCCUCCCAUUUUGUUGCUAGUAAGAAGUUGCUAUAAUUUUAGUAUUUUUGCUACCAUGAUCAGCUACUGAAAGACAUAUUAAAUCAGUGGUGUAAUUAAUUAAAGCCAGUCUUCUCACAUACUGUGUAAUGCUAACUCCAUUUCAUGUAGUCAAGCUCAGGUGAGAAAUCACAGGGUUAAAGUUUGGAACUGUGGAUGGUUUAAUUGCUGAGAUAUAAAUCUGCACUCUCCUAAAAGUAAUUUCAAUUGUAAACUAUCUGUAGAAUGUCAAGCUCUCAAAGUCGUAUGUGACACUACUAAGCCAUUUUCAGUAGAGACAGCUGCAGUAGCCCUGUGGGUGUUUGCCUCGAAAAGUUCAGCUGACUCACCAUGUGGAAAGUUUAAGGAAAUAAUAGUAACCGGAUGUGACAAAGUGUGACUCCAUUCCAGAAAAUGACAAUGAACCAGGCCACUGGGCUGUAACUCAGAGUUUUCUCUGUAUGUGCAUGAAGGAGCGGGAAGGAAAAAAAAGCUGACUGAGGAAUCAGAAAGCAUUAGAAAUGUUUCACAGAAUUAAACAGAAAAAGGAAGUGUUUGCUAAAUCACAGUUGUCUUUCCUGAAAGCUCUGGAGGCUCUGCAGUGCUGUAGCAUUGAUAAUGUGGAACUGAACCCUUCCUGUUUUAAUCACUGUCUACCUUCUCCUAAAUAUGUCCUGCCCCUGUGCUUUCUGAAAAUUGAAGAUAUUCACUAAAAUACAAAGAAUUUACUCUCAGACCUCAUUGAGAAUGACUCAAAAGGACACUCUUUGGGUUCAGCAGUCUUUCUGCAUAUAAUCAGUUGCAAGAUUGGAGGCUUGAUUAAAUGACAGAUGUAACAGUUCCCUCAGAAGUAAUCUGAAGAGAUUAGAAAAUGCAUGCAUAUAUGCUGGGAUGAGCUGAUUGUCACUUUCAUCUUCACUGUAUAACCAGAGUUUCAAAAAAACUAUUAAAUUUUGUGGGAUGGGAUGCUUGCUUUGUCUCUGAAACAACUCAUUUUAACCUGAGAAGACAGAAUGAUUUUUACGAACUCCCUAAAAACUGUCAUAUUAAACUCUCCAGAAUUUGGCAAGUCUAUGCAAUUUUUUUCUUUUCACUAGAAAACUAUGUCUGCCUAUGUCUGUUCUUUCUGCUGUAAAUUUUGAGCUGCCAUUUCUUAUUUGCCUUUCAUUAUGGAUGUUACAAAAUUGCUCACUAAAAACAUUUCAGAAAUUUUUGCGUAAUAAAAAUUCUAACUAGUAUAAUCAGAUAAUACUGUCAGGAGUGUGGAAAACGCAAUUUUUUUUUUUUUUUUGCCCUCUCCUAUCUGCCAUUCUAAAGUGCAGUGAGUUGUUGACCUUUACUACUUCAAAAGACAAAUUCUGUUUUAUUAUGUACCUUGUACCUUGGUAUCUUGUUGACUAUAGUGUAUUAUGAAUCUUAUUGGGUAACAGUCUGGCUUCCUACCAAGAACAAGCUAUACCUUACUAUAGUUCAUUGAAAUGUCUGACUGCUGUGGAAUAGGGGAAAUGUCUCUUGACAGAUGUCCUGACAAAGCAAUAAUGAAAAGGUCAUACCACAUUUCAUGCAGUAUUUGUCUUGUUUUUGUAGUGGCUAUGUACCAAAAAUGAGACCCGAUUACAUCUAAUUAGAAACACCAAGUUCUGAAAUAGAAGUUAAGAUGCUAUUAAACACUUGGAUCAAAAUUAUAUUUCAAAAUUCUAAAACCAUUAAACGGUAUCUCAUCAGCAUUACUAUUCAGAUCUAAUCUUAAAACUUUUUAGCUUUUCUAAAGAUCAAGGUCACAGAGCUAAGCAGCUCUUGUUUUAUGGGGCCUUCGGGCCAUUUUGAACUAUUAUUGCUUCAAGAAUUGUUGAUUAUGAUUGAAUACUGAAACAAAAGCAUUUCAUAAUCAUUCUGAGCAAGUCUUCCCUGGCAAAAUUAUCAGCAUAUGGAAUAAGCAACACCCAAAAUUCAGUGAUAAUUAUGAAAACACUUGCUUAUCUAUUUUUUUAUCUCCUUUUGACAAACCAUAAAUGAUUAAAGACUAAGUCUAAAAAUAUUGCAUGACAUUUGAGUAAGUAUACCAAUUAUGUUUCUUUUAUUAUAAUGUUCUCAUUCUAAAAAGUACAGUAAAAAUAAUGGAUGAUGCUAACAAAAGCCUGGUUUUUGUGUUAACAUACAAUAGUAAAUUAGAUGACUUUGGAACAGACUAUUUUGAAAGGCCACAAAAGUCUACAGAAAUCUUUCAGCUGAUUUGAUGAGGGUUUUUUAGACUGAUAGACUGUUAAUUACAUGGGUAACAGUGUUGUCUUAUGGCAUGGUAAAAUAAGGUGCUGUCAUUGUAUGUGUGUUUUUAAACUGCUUAAAAACUGAUGUAUUUUGCUCGAUGUCAGAUCUUUUCCACAUAAGAAAUGCCAACAAUAAACUGUGCUACAUACUUUAAAAA
Dromaius novaehollandiae (emu) is the source of this 4172-nucleotide long non-coding RNA. RefSeq lists it as uncharacterized. The record is from RefSeq and is a predicted model, not a curated record. The transcript is spliced from 4 exons. Lineage: Eukaryota; Metazoa; Chordata; Aves; Casuariiformes; Dromaiidae.